Molecule: long non-coding RNA, 406 nt
Filed under: Fukomys damarensis (Damara mole-rat)
Lineage: Eukaryota; Metazoa; Chordata; Mammalia; Rodentia; Bathyergidae
Description: lncRNA (ENSFDAG00000027581.1)
Source: RNAcentral
UGAAUGCAGAGGCCCAUGUAAGGAAGCUGAAAAUAGCUUAGCAGAAGCCAACGCCAAAGUGGCAAAGUUGGAGCAAAACCAGGUGGAAAUCAACACCAUCAGGACCCAUCUCCAAGCUGAAAAUAGUGAACUGAGCUAUGACUAUGAAGAGCCCCAAAACUGGCUCAAUCAAAUCCUGCAAGUAAAGACAUCUAUGACAUCACAAGUGGAUGAUUACAAAAGGCAGCUGAAUGAAGAGUCAAAGGUUGGUUUGGGAUGGAGAUGGUGACAUAGCCACAUCCUUAAAUUUACAAGUUAUGAAGAUACAGAAAGAAUACAAAGAUAUUUGAUAUGGUAGCAAGUGAAAGUAGUAUGUCUUUAACUCUUUGUUUUGUUUGGUACUGGGGAUUGAACUCUGGACCUUGUG